AUUGAACGCUUGCGGCCGGCCUAACACAUGCAAGUCGAGCGAGCGGCGGACGGGUGAGUAAUGUAUGGGGACUGCCCGAUAGAGGGGGAUCACUACUGGAAACGGUGGCUAAUACCCCAUACUAUCGGAUAACCCAUAUGGGAUUAGCUAGUAGGUGGGGUAAAGGCUCACCUAGUCGACGAUCUCUAGCUGUUGUGAGAGGAUGAUCAGCCACACUGGGACUGAGACACGGACCAGACUCCUACGGAGGCAGCAGUGGGGAAGAUUGCACAAUGGGCGCAAGCCUGAUGCAGCCAUGCCGCGUGUAUGAAGAAGGCCUUAGGGUUGUAAAGUACUUUCAGCGGGGAGGCGUUACCCGAAGAAGAAGCACCGGCUAACUCCGUGCCAGAAGCAGCGGUAAGUC
This 403-nucleotide ribosomal RNA is filed under the name uncultured bacterium. RNAcentral describes it as "partial 16S ribosomal RNA". It matches the Rfam family "Bacterial small subunit ribosomal RNA", at positions 30 to 526 of the family's 1533-position model. The record is from RNAcentral.